This 719-nucleotide ribosomal RNA is filed under the name uncultured marine bacterium. RNAcentral describes it as "bacterial SSU rRNA". It matches the Rfam family "Bacterial small subunit ribosomal RNA", at positions 8 to 736 of the family's 1533-position model. The record is from RNAcentral.
AGAGUUUGAUCAUGGCUCAGGACGAACGCUGGCGGUGCGCCUUAUGCAUGCAAGUCGAGCGAAGCUUUUCAGUAGUUUACUACAGAAAAUGACUGAGCGGCGAACGGGUGAGUAACGCGUGAGCAAUCUACCUUAGUUACAGGGAUAGCCCGAGGAAACUCGGAUUAAUACCUGAUAUUCUUUAUUUCUCGCAUGAGAAUAAAAGGAAAGGUCAGCCGAACUAAGAUGAGCUCGCGUUCUAUCAGCUUGUUGGUGAGGUAAAAGCUUACCAAGGCUACGACGGAUAGCUGGUCUGAGAGGACGAUCAGCCACACUGGGACUGAGACACGGCCCAGACUCCUACGGGAGGCUGCAGCAGGGAAUAUUGUGCAAUGAACGAAAGUUUGACACAGCGACACCGCGUGUGGGAUGACGGAUCUAGGUUUGUAAACCACUUUCAGGAGGGAAGAAAAUGACGGUACCUCCACAAGAAGCCCCGGSCAACUACGUGCCAGCAGCCGCGUAAUACGUAGGGGGCGAGCGUUGUCCGGAUUUAUUGGGCGUAAAGAGCUCGUAGGCGGUUCAACAAGUCGGYCGUGAAAGUUCAGGGCUCAACCCUGAAAUGUCGAUCGAUACUGUUGUGACUAGGAUACGGUAGAGGUGAGUGGAAUUCCGAGUGUAGCGGUGAAAUGCGUAGAUAUUCGGAGGAACACCAAUUGCGAAGGCAGCUCACUGGGCCG